Molecule: ribosomal RNA, 231 nt
Filed under: uncultured bacterium
Lineage: Bacteria
Description: partial 16S ribosomal RNA
Rfam family: Bacterial small subunit ribosomal RNA
Source: RNAcentral
CGGGUGCGUAACACGUAUGUAACCUACCUUUGUCAGGGGGAUAGCCUCUCGAAAGAGAGAUUAAGACCGCAUAACAUUACAAUGUGGCAUCACAAAGUAAUCAAAUAUUUAUAGGACAAAGAUGGGCAUGCGGAACAUUAGCUAGUUGGUAAGGUAAUGGCUUACCAAGGCUACGAUGUUUAGGGGAUCUGAGAGGAUGGCCCCCCACACUGGUACUGAGACACGGACCAG